Molecule: non-coding RNA, 740 nt
Filed under: Caenorhabditis japonica
Lineage: Eukaryota; Metazoa; Nematoda; Chromadorea; Rhabditida; Rhabditidae
Description: Eukaryotic small subunit ribosomal RNA
Rfam family: Eukaryotic small subunit ribosomal RNA
Source: Rfam by way of RNAcentral
AAAAAUUUUUUUGUCUCCAAAAAAAGUUACCAAAAAAAAAAAACUUUUUUUGUCCCCCAAAAAAAUUACCAAAAAAAAAAUUUUUUUAUUGCUCUCAAAAAAAUUAACAAAAAAACAAAAAAAAAUUUUUGUCUUCAAAAAAUUUACCAAAAAAACAAAAAAAAAUUCCAAAAAAAAGUACGUAUUUCUGCCAUUUAAAAAGAAAUUUUCCAAGUUUUUGUUGAAAAUUAGAGGUUUUUGUCAAUUCGGAGCAUUUGCCAAGAAUGUCUUCAUUAAUCAAGAACGAAAGUCAGAGGUUCGAAGGCGAUUAGAUACCGCCCUAGUUCUGACCGUAAACGAUGCCAUCUCGCGAUUCGGAGGGUUCAUGCCCUACCGAGGAGCUACCCGGAAACGAAAGUCUUUCGGUUCCGGGGGUAGUAUGGUUGCAAAGCUGAAACUUAAAGAAAUUGACGGAAGGGCACCACAAGGCGUGGAGCUUGCGGCUUAAUUUGACUCAACACGGGAAAACUCACCCGGUCCGGACACUAUUAGGACUGACAGAUUGAAAGCUCUUUCUCGAUUUGGUGGUUGGUGGUGCAUGGCCGUUCUUAGUUGGUGGAGUGAUUUGUCUGGUUUAUUCCGAUAACGAGCGAGACUCUAGCCUGCUAAAUAGUCGACGAAUCUUCGGGUUCGUAUAACUUCUUAGAGGGAUAAGCGGUGUUUAGCCGCACGAGAUUGAGCGAUAACAGGUCUGUGAUGCC